CAGCAGCCACGGUAAGACAGAGGAUGCAAGCGUUAAUCGGAAUUACUGGGCGUAAAGCGCACGCAGGCGGUCUGUCAAGUCAGAUGUGAAAUCCCCGGGCUUAACCUGGGAACUGCAUUUGAAACUGGCAGGCUAGAGUCUUGUAGAGGGGGGUAGAAUUCCAGGUGUAGCGGUGAAAUGCGUAGAGAUCUGGAGGAAUACCGGUGGCGAAGGCGGCCCCCUGGACGAAGACUGACGCUCAGGUGCGAAAGCGUGGGGAGCAAACAGGAUUAGAUACCCGAGUAGUCCCUGUCUCUUAUAC
This 301-nucleotide ribosomal RNA is filed under the name uncultured bacterium. RNAcentral describes it as "partial 16S ribosomal RNA". It matches the Rfam family "Bacterial small subunit ribosomal RNA", at positions 509 to 807 of the family's 1533-position model. The record is from RNAcentral.